AUACCUGGGUAACCGAGCGGAAACGUUAGGAAAGUCCAUGCUAGCACAGGCUGAGAUGCUUGUAGUGAUUGUGAUAGAGGAAACAAUAACUCUAUGCACGUAAGUGACGGCUGUGAACGCACCUGUUAAAUGGUGUUAUUAGCUUUAAAAGUGCCACAGAGACGAGCUUGAUAGGAAACUAUUAAGGUGGAACGGGUAAACCCCGCAAGCUAGAAACCCAAACUAUGGUAGGGGCACUUCAAUUCGGUAAAUGAACUGAUGAGGAGACGUAUUUAUACGUAGAUAAAUGGUUACCGCCUCGUAAGAGGUACAGAACAUGGCUUAUAAGG
RNAcentral lists this RNase P RNA (329 nucleotides) under Candidatus Izimoplasma sp. HR2. RNAcentral describes it as "Candidatus Izimaplasma sp. HR2 Bacterial RNase P class B". It matches the Rfam family "Bacterial RNase P class B". Rfam says of the family: Ribonuclease P (RNase P) is a ubiquitous endoribonuclease, found in archaea, bacteria and eukarya as well as chloroplasts and mitochondria. Its best characterised activity is the generation of mature 5'-ends of tRNAs by cleaving the 5'-leader elements of precursor-tRNAs. Lineage: Bacteria; Bacillati; Mycoplasmatota; Mollicutes; Candidatus Izemoplasmatales; Candidatus Izemoplasmataceae. The record is from Rfam by way of RNAcentral.